CCCUUCCCCUCCAGACGCCCGCGCUCCCUCCUCCGCGACUGGGCAUGCUCAGUGGCUUCCCGGGUUGUGCUUCCAGGGAAACCUCCGCACGCCCUACCCGGGGCUGCUCUCGGUUGCCUGCUCGCAGUCCGCCGCCUGGGGCCCAUCCCAGCUUGCUCAGCUCCUAGCGACCCAAAUUCCGGCCCUGCCCCCGCCCCGCCCGCUUCCGCAGCUAGUGCGGCAGCCCUGGUCCAGGCUCCGCGCUGGGACCGACCUCGUCCAGCGCCGGGCGGAGCGCGCAGCCGGAGCGCUUGGGAGAGCAGAGAUGGAGACCCGACUGCCGCACGCCGGGACCUGCUGAGCUUUUGCGGCCGCCGAGUUCACGCAGGUAGAAUUGAACAGGCGACUGGGGAGCGACGGCUGACAGAGCUAUUAAAAGCAAAACAGUUAAGUGUGGUGGUAAGCUGUGAGAUUUUGAGUGCCUUUCGCCGCCCCCUACCCUCCCCGCCCCGCCCCUCAAGUGUGGGUGCUUCUAUUCACCGUGUUUCCUCCCCACCUGUAAGUGGCGAGUCCGGUAACACACCUUAUAAAUAUUUCAGGAACGACCUCGUAGGCUCGGUUGCUUCAGAUCAAGUUUAAUGAAUAUGUUUGUCAGCCUUUAUGCUCCGCACAGGCAGGUAGAAGCCCCGUGCCUCAGUUUGCCAGAUCUCAUCCCUUUCCUAUACCAAAUAGGAAAAAGAUACUGCCAACCCCACGGUGAGCUUUAGAUUGGUACCGUAAAUUUGAGUCUGUCGUUCGGAGAGACCAGUCUUGGGCAGAUAUCCAAGCGUUGUUCUGCAUCUCUGCAGUGUGCGUGUUGAGCCUGGAGCUUGACAAACCAGAGCUUCCAAUAUGGUGGAAAGCAGGUAAUAUGCUUAUGUUGGAAUAAACGUCUUAAUUCAUUAUCAUCUUAAGACACCAAGUAGUUACACAGAAUUAGUCAUUGUCUCCCUAGAAGUUGAAUCUGAGAUCUAGUUGAAAUUUUAAGAAAGGCAAAAUUUGUAUUCCUCUACAACUGGGAGACAUUUCUCUCUCCUGAAUUCUUCCGUGGGAAUAAGAAAUGAAGGUCUUUUCCAUAAUCACUGUCAAGAAUAAGGAAACAACACAGUAAUGUAGAAAACUUUCAGGAUUGGAAGAAGCUGUAGGGCAUCUUUCCUCACACUUUGGGUUAUAACUUCCACUGUAACACACACACCAUUAAUGCGCUACAGUGGUACUCCUUUGCUGAAGAAACCUGCUUUUUCCUCCCUUAGUGAGACUCUUAGUAUGUCUCUAAACAACUUGUGAGGAAUUCCUCUGUUGACCAAGAUUUCAAGCCUCUAAGAUUUACAUUAUGCUGAAAGAGACAAGUCUCUUCUCUUGUAAGACCAUGCACAUUGAAGCUAAACAAUUCAGUGUACAGAUAUUUCUCAUUUAGAGAAGACUUUUCUAGCAAAGCCCCACUGCAGUUACAUCACAGGCUCCACCUCCGCUUCCCAGGCUACUUCUCCCCAGCCUGUUAGUGAGGACAGUAUGUCUCACUGUGCUUGAUGAAGAAAAGGAAUCCCCGAAUGAAAGACAUAUAUUUCUCAUAUUGUGUUUUCAAACUUAAAAUUUCAAAAAAUUUUUCAUUAUUAAUACAUAAAUGCAAGGACUUAAUUCAGAAAUAGUAUUGAUAAUGACUCUGAAUAUCAGCUUUCCAAGAAAUCUGGGGCAACAUUACAGUAUUCUCUGUGCUGAAAUUAUUGAUAGAUGGUAUUAGAAGGAAUUCUAUGAAAUUAACAAAAUAAGUAAAAAUUUUCUAUAAGAAACAGCAUUUCCUAAAGUAUGUU
This is a long non-coding RNA of Bos grunniens (domestic yak), 1829 nucleotides long. Lineage: Eukaryota; Metazoa; Chordata; Mammalia; Artiodactyla; Bovidae. The record is from Ensembl.